GGCCUGUGGCCUAAUGCGUAAGGCGCAUGACUUCUAAUCAGAAGAUUGCAGGUUCGACCCUGCAUCGGUCA
RNAcentral lists this transfer RNA (71 nucleotides) under Toxocara canis (dog roundworm). It matches the Rfam family "tRNA". Rfam says of the family: Transfer RNA (tRNA) molecules are approximately 80 nucleotides in length. Their secondary structure includes four short double-helical elements and three loops (D, anti-codon, and T loops). The record is from Rfam by way of RNAcentral. Lineage: Eukaryota; Metazoa; Nematoda; Chromadorea; Rhabditida; Toxocaridae.